Non-coding RNA from Ceratotherium simum simum (southern white rhinoceros), 148 nucleotides. Lineage: Eukaryota; Metazoa; Chordata; Mammalia; Perissodactyla; Rhinocerotidae. The record is from RefSeq and is a predicted model, not a curated record.
UGAAUGAAUGCCUGCAUGCAGACUCCCAAGUUUUGAACCCCAGUUCAGCCACUAAUCACUGUGGCAUUGGACAACCGAUUCAGUGUCUCUGCCUCAGUUUCCCUGGCUGUAAAAUCAGCAUAAGAGUAGUACUGACCUCCUGGGGUUG